Molecule: ribosomal RNA, 760 nt
Filed under: uncultured Prevotella sp.
Lineage: Bacteria; Pseudomonadati; Bacteroidota; Bacteroidia; Bacteroidales; Prevotellaceae
Description: bacterial SSU rRNA
Rfam family: Bacterial small subunit ribosomal RNA
Source: RNAcentral
GAUGAACGCUGGCUACAGGCUUAACACAUGCAAGUCGAGGGGAAACGACGGGGAAGCUUGCUUCCUUGGGCGUCGACCGGCGCACGGGUGAGUAACGCGUAUCCAACCUGCCUCUGACUGAGGGAUAACCCGUCGAAAGUCGGCCUAAUACCUCAUGGCAUCGUCUGCGGGCAUCCAACGACGAUUAAAGAUUUCAUCGGUCAGGGAUGGGGAUGCGUCUGAUUAGCUUGUUGGCGGGGUAACGGCCCACCAAGGCUACGAUCAGUAGGGGUUCUGAGAGGAAGGUCCCCCACAUUGGAACUGAGACACGGUCCAAACUCCUACGGGAGGCAGCAGUGAGGAAUAUUGGUCAAUGGGCGAGAGCCUGAACCAGCCAAGUAGCGUGCAGGAUGACGGCCCUAUGGGUUGUAAACUGCUUUUAUGCGGGGAUAAAGUGAGGGACGUGUCCUUCAUUGCAGGUACCGCAUGAAUAAGGACCGGCUAAUUCCGUGCCAGCAGCCGCGGUAAUACGGAAGGUCCUGGCGUUAUCCGGAUUUAUUGGGUUUAAAGGGAGCGUAGGCCGUGGAUUAAGCGUGUUGUGAAAUGCAGGUGCUCAACGUCUGCACUGCAGCGCGAACUGGUCCACUUGAGUGUGCGCAACGCAGGCGGAAUUCGUCGCGUAGCGGUGAAAUGCUUAGAUAUGACGAAGAACUCCGAUUGCGAAGGCAGCCUGCGGGAGCACAACUGACGCUGAAGCUCGAAAGUGCGGGUAUCGAACAGG